GUACUCCCUUCCAAAAGGAGUGGCAAUAGUGGUUAGACCUUUAGUUUCCUCUGCUGCUCUCAAAUGGCAGGAAUGUUGCCUGGGUGGUGGAAGGUACACAGACAAACUGGUGCUACGUCAAUCUGCUGGAUAUACUUGAAUGAUCUAGUUUGGUGACAGGACAUACUUAUUGGGAUUCUACAGUUACGAUGAGGCGUCAGGUUUAUGGGUGACUGACUCUACUGUGGGGGAAUCUAGAGGCAGAAAUCUUCAAAGUGCCAGAAAGACAGACCGUGUCUGGACCCAGAUCGUCACUACUGUACUUCUGCUGCUGCUCUCACUAAACUACCAAGACAUGGUCCUCUGGAGUCUACUCCCAAUCUCCCUCUCCCUGGUGUCUCUCAUUGGCACAUGGGUGACGUAUGGCCUGGCUUACAGCUAUGACCAUGUGUGUUCCCUCAACAACUGGGCCCCUGGGAACCCCUGCGGAAACAAUACAACUAUGGCAUGUUGUCAAGUUCCCACCAUAAGCACGAGUGGAACAAGCUCACCAGAAAACUCUUUCUUCACAGCCACCAUCAAUGCUGCUUCAUUUCUGUUUAUGGUGUUCUGUAUCUUCCACCAUGCUCACAUCUUGGAGAGGAACAGUGUCCACUCCAUGCUCAGUAGAAUCGCCCUGGUGUUUGGUGGAGUGGCAGCCAUCGGGGCCUUCGUGGCUGGGAACUGCAAUCCCGCGUACCUAACGCUGGCCCAUUACCUGGGGGCUGCGGUGAGCUUCCUGUGUAUCUGUUUCUACAGCCUGCUCCUCACGGUGCUCACAGGGAAGUGUGUUCUGACCCGGAUGGAGUGGUUCCUCUACCCAGCACGGGUCAUGUCUACUGCGGUCCAAAUCAUUGUCACUAUUGGCUAUGCAAUCUUGUUUGUACAGGAGGAAUACAUGUACAAGCACUCAGCGGCCGUGUUUGAGUGGAUACUGAGCGUCAACCUGGAGCUGUUUGAGCUCAGCUUCGCUGUUGAGUUCUGUUUCUUCUCCUCCUCCAUGUUGUGUAUGCUGCUGGGGAAGAAAGAUGAGGAGGAGCCUAUCCUUCUGGCCUGAGAAGAUAAGAUGCUACUGGGCUGGGGGAGACCCACUGUAAGAGACACUUGGGUCAUGUGAUGCAUGAAAUGGAAGAAAACGUUCCAAAACGGAGACCAGCUGGACUUGUCCAUUUAAGAGUCGGUUAAAAAAAAAUCACGUUGUGCCCUAAUGAAAUAACCCAGUAGUUUACAAACUUUUCUAUGUUGUGACCGAUCUAAAGCUUGUGGAAUUGGACCAACCAAGUAAAGGGAACAAUUGUUUGUAACCGGUUCUGGCUGUGACCAAAAAACGAAUCAGCUGAAUCGUCCACGACCCACCGUUUGGGGAAACACUGACCUAGUGGAAUCAAAGAUGGGGAUCAUACAUAACCUUUGAUCUCGUUCUCAGACCAAGUCUUAUUAUUGAGGAUGAUUUAAAAAAAUAAAUAAUCAGGGCUGAAAACAUUUUUCUUAUGCAGUCCCUAAAUACAAAACGAAAGAUGAGUUAUUCGGGUCACAACAAAUCAAAGUAUUUCUGAAAGCUUUGGAAAAGGAAAACUGUCAAUCCUACAACUUUCAUAGCCACUGAUGGACCAAUACCAGGACACCUUAGCAUUUGAGUAGUAGUCACUAUCAUUCUGGAAAGCUUUUUGAUGGCAGAACAGCUGGUUGUACAAGUUUUACUGCAUACCUGUCAGAUGAGAAGAACCCGAACAUAAGCAAUCAUUCAUCCAGAAACAAUGUAACUGAAAAUGUUAUGAACAGAACAAAUUUCUUAGCAAGGCAUAAUACUUUGUAUUUGUUGCUUUCUUAUGUAUCGGUCUCAUUUUCUACUGCUUUUCUACAGUGUUCCUAUUCAAGGAUUUGUGCAAUGAUGAUUCACUUGUUUACAACAACAAUAUAUCAUGGACUAUAUGGUUACAUCUUAACAAAGUGGUACAUAAAUAAAUAGUGACAAACUGAUGUUUACUUAGGGUAUAAAUAAAUAAAAGCCUUUAGCCUAAUUCAGUAUGAAAAUAUCGACUUGGAAGGUUUCCUYAAGGCUCUUAAUUUUUGGAGGCAUUUCUUUUGCCAAGUGUAAUUGAACAAUAAAACGUGUGGAAGAUCAAAUCUAA
Molecule: RNA transcript, 2150 nt
Organism: Salvelinus sp. IW2-2015
Lineage: Eukaryota; Metazoa; Chordata; Actinopteri; Salmoniformes; Salmonidae
Gene name: transmembrane protein 150A
Source: RefSeq, a predicted model, not a curated record